GGGAGACGGUGAGUAACGCGUGAAAAUCUACCCAUCUCUACGGAACACCAGUUGGAAACGACUGCUAAUACCGUAUACGCCCUUCGGGCGAAAGAUUUAUCGGAGAUGGGUGAGCCCGCGUUGGUUUAUCUAGUUGGGGGGGUAAAGGCCUACAAAGGCGACGAUCCAUAGCUGGUCUGAGAGGAUGAUCAGCCACACUGGGACUGAGACACGGCCCAGACUCCUACG
RNAcentral lists this ribosomal RNA (228 nucleotides) under uncultured Hoeflea sp. RNAcentral describes it as "partial 16S ribosomal RNA". It matches the Rfam family "Bacterial small subunit ribosomal RNA", at positions 105 to 343 of the family's 1533-position model. Lineage: Bacteria; Pseudomonadati; Pseudomonadota; Alphaproteobacteria; Hyphomicrobiales; Rhizobiaceae. The record is from RNAcentral.